Molecule: long non-coding RNA, 2805 nt
Filed under: Canis lupus familiaris (dog)
Lineage: Eukaryota; Metazoa; Chordata; Mammalia; Carnivora; Canidae
Description: lncRNA (ENSCAFG00845006490.1)
Source: RNAcentral
AAAACUUUUAUUUUAAAAUAUCUCAUAUGAAAGCACUUUAUACAGAGUUCUGGCCUGCUGGUUAGUAGUCAAAUAUUCCUAAAAGGUUUCGUUGACCAUACUUUGUCUUUCCUCUAUUUUCACUAAAAGGUUAUGGUUUUUAUAUGACUUAGUCUAUCAUGGAAAGUGGAACUACAUCUUUUACAGAGUAAUUUUAAACACUUUUAGCUUCCCGUUAGCACCAUUGGUAUUAAUUCAACAUUAAAGGCUUUAAAGAGUAGGAACCAAUGAAGAGUUAAGAGUUUUACAUCCCCAUGCCCUCCUACUUCCUAACCACCUCAAUGCUAACCAAGCCCUUCAGCCAUCCCCUUUCUUCUCUUUUGGGAGUCAUACAUACCUAUUUCUUUUCACUGCUUGAAGUUCAAGUUGUUCCACUUUAGAUAAUUUCUUUAACUUUCACACCAUGGGCAGUUAUUAUAAAUCCCCUUCAGAAUCUUUGUAAGCUUCCAUCUGUCUCUUCAUCCUCCCUGAUUAAAGCUUCUGCAAUCAGCAUUUAUGUCAACAUUAAUAUUAAAUGUUGACUGUCACAUUUCCCGAAUAAGCCAAAUACAUUUCUUGAAUGCUUAAAUACAUUAUCCUCUCUCUAAUCUUUCAGUUCUUGUUUACAAUGGCUUUGGUGUUUCAGUCGUUAACUAGAGUCGUUCUAUUAUAAGUGUGAUAACCAACUAACCAGACUUGAAAUUGUAAAGAAAAACAGGAGAUUAACAGUUACAACUUCAAGAGAAACUUUAUGCUUGUAUGCUACAUAUAAGCUUUUAGAAUUAUUGAAUUUAGAAUUAUUGGCAUGUACUCAACUUACAUAUAAUGUUGGAGUGAAUAGUAAAGCAGCCUUAAUCUUCCCAAAUUCUAUUAAGACUGUUACAAAACUCCUCAGUAAAGAAAUUAAUUUUACAGUGAACACCCAUAUACCCCACUACCUAAAUUCUACAAUUAACAGUAAAUUUUACUUGCUCUGUUACAUUUAUAUCCAUGUAUUUUCCAAUUAUUUUGAAUUUAACAGUAAAAAUUUGAAAACCAGAGUGUUAAUAAAUAGGAUACUCCAGUUAGCUAAAGAGUGAUCAGAAAACCUUAGCUGAAUACCUUUCACAAACCUAAUUCUCUUCUCUUUCGAAAUUUAGGGUCUGGUCUCAAGCAUCAGAUUAUAGGAGCUUAAUAGACACAGGUGGUUAAGGAAUGUACAGUGAGUAGGACCUUUGGAAAGCUAAUGGAAAAGGGCUAUCUGAUCUUUGAUAUUAACCCUUUAAUCAUUCUAAAAUUUGAGAGCAAUAAAUGCCUGAUCACUUGAAGAGUAAGGGUAAUUUCAACCACUGACAGCCUUUAUUUCAUAGGAUGAUCCCCAGAAUUACAGCUCUCUAAGGUUUUGAUAGGAAGAACCAAAGCUCUCUAUGAUUUGAUGUUGCUAAGUACAGUAUAAUAAUCUUAUUUAAAGAUUUUUCUGGGACGCCUGGGUGGUUCAGCGGUUGAGCAUCUGCCUUUGGCCCAGGGCAUGACCCUGGAGUCCCAGGAUCGAGUCCCACAUCAGGCUCCCUGUAUGGAGCCUGCUUCUCCCUCCGCCUGUGUCUCUGCCUCUCUCUCUCUAAUGAAUAAAUAAAGUCUUUAAAAAAUAAAGAUCUUAAUAUUAGAAGGCAAUUUUGAGUUCAAUUUAAAUCAAACAUUUGCAUGUUGGAAGUAAUCAAAAGUCAAAAUGUCCUUUACCUGCCAUCCCCUGCUCAAGAUUCUAGAUUGCCGAGAAUACAUUUGUAAUUUGGUUUUGACAACUAAUCAGGUUAAUUUCUAAUAUUAGAAUAAAAGAACUAUCUGUAAUAAUUUAGGGGUAGCUAUGUAUAUAUGACCAGCUUUGAAGGAAUUUGAUUAGUAUCUAUUAUCUUUACAACCAGAUUUACCACAUUUUCUGCCACUUUAUUAAAUUAGGAAAAAUUACUUUCCUGAAUCCUUUCUUAAGAAAUUCUUAAGUAAAUUGCUAGAGAAGUGAAGUAUUUGUCAUUAUUUUUUAUCAGUAUCUUUUAAGCUAUUCUACAUUCAUAAUACAUGAUCUAAUGGAGCUUGACUAGAACAUGUAGCCUCCUUUGACAGAUGUGCAUAUGAUUUUCUAUGUAGGUAGCUUCUGCUGUCCUCCCAUCUUUUCUACCAUUACUUAAUUCAGACUGUAAUUAAUAUCACCGUAGUCUAUGAUAAACUAUUCCUCAAGACACUUUAAAUUUGUGUUACCAUUUCUAUACUAAGGGAACAUUACUAUAAACUAUGCUUUAGAAAAUGAACUCCAAGAUCUCAACAACGAACCCUCAGUAAAUGCAACACCUUUUAUAAAGCUUAAAUUGUAAUUCUAUUUGGGAUUAUAGCACGAGCUUAAGUUUGACAAAUACAAUUCCUGGGUGUUGGGAACAUUACUUAUACAUUUCAGUAUAUUUAAUUUAGAAUUCCAAGAUAAUUGCAAAGGAUAUGAAAAGCAAUCCAAAAACUGUCAGAGAAUAAUUCAAGACAAUCUAAGAGAUUUAAAGAAAAGAGAUUUAGUUCAAGCAUAAAAUAGAUGAUCCCUAACUUAAAAAAUUAGGGGAUCCCUGAGUGACUCAGUGGUUUGGCACCUGCCUUCGGCCCAGGCCUCAUCCUGGAGACUUGGGAUCGAGUCCCAUGUCGGGCUCCCUGCAUGGAGCCUGCUUCUCCCUCUGCCUGUGUCUCUGCCUAUCUCUCUCUCUCUCUCUCUCUCUCUCUCUCUGUCUCUGAUGAAUAAAUAAAUAAAAUCUUAAAAAAAAAAAAAAAAAAAAAAAA